Long non-coding RNA from Triticum aestivum (bread wheat), 2669 nucleotides. RefSeq lists it as uncharacterized. NCBI's taxonomy places the organism in Eukaryota, Viridiplantae, Streptophyta, Magnoliopsida, Poales, Poaceae. The transcript is spliced from 3 exons. The record is from RefSeq and is a predicted model, not a curated record.
GCCCGCAUACAACCCUUCGUCAACGCAAAAUCAUAACAAAACAGGGCGAAAAGGGCUUUCCGUCUAGCGACGCCCGCAUCGCCUCCCUGGCCGCUCGGGGGAGAACCAUAGCCGAUCCUUCCUUCCCCUACCUCCUCCCUGGCGCCCUGCGGCGGAGCUGGGUCCGGUCCAAUGGAGGGCGACGGCGGGGCAUCUGGUUCCUGCCGCCAUGGCGCGGGCGCGGGUCAUUGUUCUCACUGCAACAGUUUUGAAAUCAUCAUCUGCAAUUAGAUUCGAUUUGGAGUGUCGGUGGAAGGAGGAGGCAGUGGCGCCGGCACAUAGCAAACUGGACUGAAGAUGGAGUAGCAGAGUCCUCUGAUCUACCACAGUGUCCGAAUGAUGCUGCCCACUGCUCCAUCAGCUUGUACCCCUCAUCUCUAAAUUAGCAUUAUAACAGGUAAAUACAGAAAUGAUAAUUGCAGCCAUGAACCUGUCGAGUCGAUAUAUGAUACCAUCUUCAGGCACAUGAUAAUCACGCCUUUGCGGGUCAUCGGCAUACUUGCAAUGGAUUGAGCAAAUGGCCUCUCUUCAUUCACACAUGUUCUCAUUUGAAGCUAUUCGAGGUGUUGAAACACAUAACAAUAGAAGAGAUGCAUUGCAUGUGUAUUGUCUUUUAAUCAUGCACAUUUUGGUGCAUGAUUAUUGUCAAAUGGUUUGUCUAAUACUGAGUAGAUCCGCACGUAUGUCAAGGUUCUUAAUAUGGAACCAUUAGAUGAUGGAUGACCAUUUUUUGCAAUAUCUGACUGAGGAAUAAUGGUACAAUUGAUAAGGGUUGGACUUCCCUCUGCAACCAUCCUCUUUGCUAGAGUAAUUCAAGGUAUGUUUCCUUGCUCAUUUAGGCUGGUUACUGAACCUCUUUGUGAACCAAUGAAGGCAUUCUCUAUGCACAAAUAACUUAGUGCUACUAUUGGUUUCUACAUUGAAAUUUCCACAUUUGAAUAAUUUAGUAACAAUAAAGAGUUUUUUCAGUGACUUUGUGAGAUGUUACGCAACACCAUGCCCCUAAUUGUAAUGUAUUCGAUCCUCGUGGCACAAUCCUAUCUCAUGAAUAAUUGAGACAUAUAUUGAUGCAUAUAUGGUGUGACUGGGCACCCGCACUUGUGUAACAUUCCAAAAGUGCAAUUUAUGGAAACCUAGCAAUUUUAGAUGCCUAUGAACAUCAUUAUGUCUCAUCACGAUCUCAUCAAGGAUAUGGUGCUUUGUUUUGAUUUAUUUCACCAAAACCUUAUUUUUCAAUUUAUAUGUGUGCAAACGAUCUUUAAUCAUCAUAUUUAACGAUCUUUAAUGUGUUUCAUCAUUUGUAGGCUGCAAAGUGACAUAAUCAUGGAUGGUGUUACCUAAUGGGCUGGAGAGUUUCUAAAUUAUGAGAUGUGCAUGAUUAAGCAGGCCCUGCUUCAUUACCGAAAAAGGCUUUCGCCCCGUUUUAUAUAUAAAGCAUCAAACCACAAGCAUCCAGUACAACCACACACCACGCCACCGCAACACAUGCACACACCCAAGACAUGAUACAUAGGCGCUGAGCGCAGCAACACCACUCCUAGCGCUACCGCCCCGAAGAUAUGAAGCUACAUAUGACGAACCAUGCGCUCCAAGGCGACGCCUUCAGAAAGGAUACGACGCCGGAGCGCCGCCAUCGCCCGAUCCAAGGAUCAGAGUUUCCCCCAGAGCCGCAUGACGGGCAAUGAGAGCCGCGACGACGCCUUCAAGAAGGGAACGAUCUUCCCCGCCGCAGGUCCGUCCGAAGAUAGAGCAGGUUUUCACCUCGGCCAACAAUCAUCGCCACCGAACGCCACAACCCGGCAACCACGCCGCCCACACGACCAUGAUGACCGGGCAGCACCAAGGCACGGGCUUUGUCCAAGAGCACCGCGCAACCACCACCACCAGGGCCGCCGCCCCAGCAUCCAAGACCUCGACAUCACCUCACCCGUGACCCGCCGCACCCCACCUUUCGCACCCCUGGGCGACCACCAGCGUCGAGACCCAAUAGGUCGGCCAGAACUGGUAUCCACCGACCCAUCCUGCUGCCCCAAGCGCGAGAUGAGCUCGGUCCUGCAGCAAUGAGAGGGGGACGAGGUCAGUCUUGCUGCAUCGUGCGCGAGACGAGCUCGGUCCUGCUGCAUCGUGCGCGAGACGAGCUCUGUCCUGCGGCAUCGGGCGCGAGACGAGCGGUCGACCGCAGCUGGGAGAGGACCAGCCCUUUGAUGGGAGUAGCGUCCGGGCGACGAGGAGAUAGGGUGAAGGUCGAGACGGCCCGAACCCAGACAAAACGACGCCGGAGAAGCCGACUGUUGCCGCGGACAGAUCCAUCGAGCCACCGUGAAGCCGCCACGACAUCGGAAGGCUACCGAGACCUGCCCUUGCCGCCGCCCACGGCCGGAGCAGGAGCCACGCCCAGCCGCUGCCUAUCCGCGUCGCCCGGCGAGCUCCAAGCGCCGGAGCCGCCGGGCACGCACCACUAGAGCCACCGCCACUGCACCGCCACCCCGACCAGCCGAGGGGGCCUCGGUCAGGGCCGCCGCCCGCAGCCCUACCCGUCAUGUUUCAUGACAUGACAUGCAACGAUUUAGAUGACCGCCAUGUUUGACUAAUUUUAUAUUAAUUCAGACGUGCGUUGCACGUGCACGUUU